UGGGGAAUCUUAGACAAUGGGCGCAAGCCUGAUCUAGCCAUGCCGCGUGGGCGAUGAAGGCCUUAGGGUUGUAAAGCUCUUUCAGAUGGGAAGAUAAUGACUGUACCAUCAGAAGAAGCCCCGGCUAACUCCGUGCCAGCAGCCGCGGUAAUACGGAGGGGGCUAGCGUUGUUCGGAAUUACUGGGCGUAAAGCGCACGUAGGCGGACUGGAAAGUCAGAGGUGAAAUCCCAGGGCUCAACCUUGGAACUGCCUUUGAAACUCCCAGUCUUGAGGUCGAGAGAGGUGAGUGGAAUUCCGAGUGUAGAGGUGAAAUUCGUAGAUAUUCGGAGGAACACCAGUGGCGAAGGCGGCUCACUGGCUCGAUACUGACGCUGAGGUGCGAAAGCGUGGGGAGCAAACA
RNAcentral lists this ribosomal RNA (402 nucleotides) under uncultured prokaryote. Its description in RNAcentral is "bacterial SSU rRNA". It matches the Rfam family "Bacterial small subunit ribosomal RNA", at positions 355 to 774 of the family's 1533-position model. The record is from RNAcentral.